Long non-coding RNA from Mauremys reevesii (Reeves's turtle), 395 nucleotides. RefSeq lists it as uncharacterized. The record is from RefSeq and is a predicted model, not a curated record. The transcript has 3 exons. Lineage: Eukaryota; Metazoa; Chordata; Testudines; Geoemydidae.
GAUGCUUCUUCACACCCUCCUCCAAAAAAGAAUAGAUUAUGUGGAAGAAGGAAUAUGUGUAGACACUUGGGUGACAAAUUUUGAUUGCAUAGUUGAAGAGAAAUUACCUACUUACCAAAAAGGGAUGUCAAUAGACUAUUUGCUAUCUCAGAUAUUUAUUGUGUGUAGCUCUUAAAAAAAGAGAUUCAUCUAGAGAAGACUUAAUCAUGUUUCCUAAUGGCUAAAAUGGGAGAAGACAGACUUCAGCUAGUGAGAAGUAUGGGAAGGCUGCCAGACAUCACUCUUGUCCAGUACACUAAGCCUAAGAGAGCAGUGCUGGCAUCAUCCCUGAAGGAACAACUAAAUGUGCCCACACAGCAAGGUGAGAUGUCCCUUGUAGCAGCUGCAAAGCAGAG